CUUGGACCUACUGGUCGAGCUUUUCCCUUGGGUGGCCGUACCCACUGGGAACCAUGGAGUUGGUUCUCACCCCACGUUGUUUUGGGGUGUUACAGGUUCGCACGUGAGCGGCGCGGCGGCGCGAGGCAACGGCGUAGCUCCAUAGAUAGCGCUCUACCACAGAGACUAGAGAUACGGUACCCCGAAUCGGCAUAGCCUAGGAGAGGAAAUGAAAACAACAGAAUGUAUUCAAACUUGUAAAUAAAGGAUUUGUAAUGUAAAGAUGCAUUAAAUGUGAAUGGUUGUAAUAACAUAGGAUGUGUUAUGUUUUUGGAUACUUCCUUAUGCAAUUGUUGUAUGAAUACUGUUCCUGUUUGGAACCACUUGUAUUGUAUCGAUUGCGACGCCUUGGACGUACAGGGAAAACUCUGUCCGUUCGGCGGUGUGUCGGCGUGCCCGAACCCGGCCAAAUAGGCAGGGCGCGUGGCAUGACAGAUAAGAUGGUAUCAUAGCAUAAAGUAGAGAAUGGAAAAUGGCUUAGAUGGACCUAGGAGACCCUAGGAUAGUAAACCAUAGGAGAAUAAGGCUCGUGAGAGACGAGGACUUGUGACUAUUGGCGAAAGGUUAAUUGAUUGGGUCAAGAGUUGUAAACCUCUACAACGGAUAUUAGAGAUAUACUCGAGGCGUGGGCUAUUCUCGACCGAGGGUGUUCAUGUUGGGCGCGCACGACAUGAAACCGAGGGAUGAGAAUAGACGCCGUUGCUUGACUUUCGCCUAAUUUUAGUCGAUGUUAGUUGUCUCGUGUUUGACUCAGAAGGUCGAGAACUAAUCGAGUUGUCCUGUUUCAGGAAGCGAUGGCACCGCGUAGACGAUCUUCAUCCAGAUCGACGCGGGAGGGGACAAGUGGUGCCCCUAAGCAAAUCGACGCGAGCGGAGACUUGGAACUUCGCGAUCAAUUGGCCAUACUCGUGGGAGUGGUGAGGCAACAAGCCGAUGUGGUGCAGCGGCAGCAGGAGGCUGUUAUGCGUCAGGAAGAGCGGGUCAAGAGACUCCAGGAGACCGUGGAGCAGCUAGUGGCUGCGCCAGUUGCGGGUUGUCGAGGAUGGCCGGGAGUCGCGGCGGAGAUCUCUCCGUUGGGGUCGGGCGAUCCGACUUCCGAAGGUGCGUUAGUGGAGGCGGAGAAAGAGCGGGCUUUGGCGGCCCUUAUGACCUUCAAGAGGUUUGAUCCGCCUAUCUUUGAUGGAGAGAAUGUUGAUCCGUGGAUCGUGGAGAUGUGGAUUGACUCUAUGAAAAUGCUCUUCGAGGAGCUGUACACCUUGGAGCGGGACAAGGUACCCCUAGCCAUGCAUUGCUUGAAGCUGUCGGCAAAGGUGUGGUGGAAAGGCAUUCGACGGAAUCGAUCGCCUAGUCUCCCUCCUAUGGGGUGGGAUGAAUUUCGAGGAUUGGUGUUUUCGACUUACUUCCCCGACAUUGAAAAGAGAAAGCUUCAGGACAAGUUCAGGAAGCUGCGGCAGGGAGACCGCUCUGUGAAGGAAUACGAACGAGAGUUUUUCCAUAUCGUGAAUUGUGUCCCGGAUGUAGUACGGGAUGACAAGGAUAUGGCCGAUUGGUUCCUGCGUGGACUGCGAUCGGAGAUUUAUCAGGUGGUGCAAAUCUUCAAACUCACAACCUUCGCGGAGGUGUUUGAUCGAGCGUUGUUGGCAGAGCACGGCGAGGCUUUUGUGCGAGAGGAACACGAGUCUUCCGGGCGUGAGCGGGGAGGGGUGAGGCCACUGUCGAGCGGUUCGGAUAGACAAUCAAGCUCUAGGCGCCACUCGAAGUCGUCUUCUACUCGAUCCUUCCCAGGAUGCGUGAUCUGCGGUGGUUCCCAUUGGGCACGACGGUGCGUGCAGCAAGAAGGUAGAUGCACCCGAUGUGGACGACCGGGUCACCCGAACUAUGAGUGUCCGCAGGGUGACAGUCGGGGCCUGACACUAAUGACGGCCUUUUUCUCUCCGGGACAGCUUGCAGGUACGAGUUAAUUAUAGAAAGCGUAUGCUUUUGCAUAAUGUCAGGUUGGUGCAUUGCAUGCCAUUAUCAUAAGGUCGGUUGCUACUAUUUAUACAUUGCAUAGUAGGGACCGAGUGGACGGGUGAGUGUAGAUAUCCGGGCAUGCUCAUGCAGUGAGAGAGUCGCGCCUGCUGGGGCAGGUAGAGAGCCAAGUGGUACUAGUAAAUAGCUAGUAAUGGUUCUUGGACCAGGAGUGGAACUCAUGGUGAACAUGAAAUGGUGAGGUGACUCUCAAGGCAAUGGAUAGGAGAUUGCGAGAGUUGAGCCAAGAUGUUUGAGGAUACCCGAAGAGUUCGGGAAUUUCGGAUAUAGUUCCGGUGGAUCGAAUAGUGAAAGUGGAAUCACUGUUGAGAGAAUGGUUGGUUAGCGCCAAGUUUGGCCUGUGGGCCUUGUAGUACCUCGAAUCGAGGUGAAUGAGUUUUACUUGCAUGGCUGGUGCUCUCAGGCAAAGUUGCCUAAUGCUAAAUUUAGUAUAGAAAGCGUGCGACGCUCGAGUGUAAGUACUCGUAGAGUGCGGAUUUGAUACAGCCGAUGGUGAGUGAGAUGGCAAUAGCACUGUAGCAUUGCUAAGUGUGAAGCGGGCCAUGGAUCACUCGAGGGGGCUGGUGGCUCGCACUAGGUGCUUAGGAGCCGGUGGUGGUGCUUAUAGCUCGACAGAGUAUGUCGUGUAGGACGACGACGGCGGGUGUUGCUUGGGGACGACCUGUGCCUGGACCAAUUGUGGACUGUGGAGCCUAGGACCUUUGGGCAGUCGCAGUCAGCUAUUUGAGACAGCGGCCCGAUACCUAUGGGUAGGGCAGAGUUUUGGUCAGGACGGUAGUCCGAGCUUAGACUUGGGAGCGUGGAAUGCCACGUGUUGGAUCGUGAGAUCGAGGGUGCACUGAGAGUGCAGUUGUGACCCAACCCGAAGAUUUGUAGUGGUUGGGGUCAUGGUUGCUCCUGGUUGGAGUGUGAGCAAAUUCCCAAGUGAGAAUUUUGCCCAGUGAUGAUGAUUGGGUCUACGCUUGCGAGCGAGAGACGUCGAGCGUUGCAACAGGUUUAGGCGGUAGGUCUACAUAGGGUUGGUGACCAUUGGUCCACCCGUAGAGACCGAGGUGAGUGGUUGGGCCAGUACUCGUCCGAGGAGUUUGGCCGGGAUUCACGAACGGAGGGUUCGUGAGAGGUCGUUGCAAGAACGAGUAGAGGUUAGCCGUGGCAAUUGGAAUUUAAAAUGAAGUAGUCUCUUGGAGACACUUGAGUGUUGGGAAGCCACGUGAGAAUUAGAGCUUAAGGAUGAUGCUCUUUUGUGGAUUGAGAUGAGAGAUGUGCCGGAGUGUGCCAUCUCAUGAUAGAGCAAAGAUUCGGUUGAGAUAGGAGCACUCGCGAUUGGUCGAUGCACCAACGAAAUUGCUUUAGCAAUGCUGGUGAUCGAAUCAGAGUGUGUCCCAAAAUGAGAUGAGGAAUGCAAAGAGGAAUUCUUUGCAAGCUGGUUACAAGUGAUGUUGGAGCGUGUAGAGUCAUCGAGUAUCGACUCGCGCUGCCACCAAGACUCGCGGGAGUCGUGAUGCACUUUUGAAGAUGUGCUUGACAAAUAUGAGUGAAACUAGCCUCACGUCCUCCGUAGUGGGCCUUUGGAUAGUUCCGAUAAGUGAGAGGCCACUCCGGAGUUGAAAGGCGCAUUGGAAUCCCUGAUUACCCAAUAAACUGAGUUGGGGUGUGAAUUUGGUCGGAAUGAGUGAGUUUUGAGGACGAAACUUCUUUUGAGGAGGGGAGGAUGUAAGGACCUGAAUUCUCGACAUGAGAGAGUUGAACCUGGCUCGAAUCGACCUGUUGUUGGUUGGGUACGCUUCGGAAAGGCCAAAGGCGUCGUAAAUGCAUAAAGUGCAUUGUAGGAAGUCUUCGAGAGCAAGCUGGAGCAAGUCUGCAAGACUGCAGCUUUUGUGCUCUCGGGGACCGGUCCCUGAGUUGGAGGACCGGUCCCCGUACGCGUGGAAAAUGGACAAGUGCCCAUUCUGUGCUGGACUGCUCUCGGGGACCGGUCUCUCAGGCAAGGACCGGUCCUCCGGGGUCCGGUCUCUUGAGCAAGGACCGGUUCCCGUACGUGUUGGAGUUGGAGCAGAGUGUCCUGCGAGAGAGCUGCUCUUGGGGACCGGUCCCUCUUGGGGAGAGACCGGUCCCCGUGUAACAAUGUGAAUCUUCGAAGUCCGGGGGUUGCACUUCGUCCAGGAUCGACUAAUGGUCGAAUGGAUAAGCUUUGGAAAAGCUUAGGAUGCACGAGAAUCGAGAAGUGCAUUAGAAUGGAGUCCGUGAGAGCAAAUAAUGCAAUUAGCGUUUUGGGCUGAGAUUGCUCUCGGGGACCGGUCUCUGGAGGUGAGAGACCGGUCCAAUCAGCCUAAGGCUGUGGGGUUGCUGAUGCAACCGGUCCCUGGCAGAGGAGGGACCGGUCCCAGCCUGCGACAUCAGUGAGAAGAGCCGAAAAUCGGCUAAGUCCCGAAAGUAUAGCUCUCGGGAACCGGUCUCUCUGCGAGGAACCGGUCUCCCGAGGACCGGUCUCUCAGGGAGAGACCGGUUCCCGAACGCGUGUCUGCGGGGGGAGGCCCGGGGGACCGGUCCCUGGUCGGGGAGACCGGUCCCUCCGCGCGCAGAAUGCCCAGUGAGGACUGUGUGAGAGAUGAAAAGUGGAGGGGCCUUUGGGGAUAUUGUUACAAAAUGAGAGAGGGUAUUAGAGAGAGAUCCUUUCCUCUCUCUCUCUCUCUCACUCCCUCAGCCACUUUCCCUCUCCCUGAGAUCGUGCGAAGGGGAAAAGAAAGGAAAGAAAGGAAAAAGAGAAGAAGAGAAAGAAGAGAAGAAAGGAAAAGAAGGAGAAGAUGGAGGAGAUGCAGGAGAUCAUCGCCAUCAUCAUCCUCUUCAUCUUCUUCUCUCCUUUGGAGCUUUUGGAGAGGUAAGCUUGGUGCCCUCUCUUGGUAGAUCUCUUGUGUUUGGGUUUUAAACCCUAGAAAUGGAUUUAAUGGUACCCUAGCAUGCUAUUUAGAUGAUUUCACCCCAUUUCAUAGGUCGAUUUGGUGGAUUUGGCAAUAAUGGCAUCUAGGGCAUCAAAGCGGGGUUUUUGUAAAUAGAUGAGAUUGAUCUCAUUUGACCCCUUGUUAACCUAAUUGGUAGGUAACGGAACACGUUGGCGAAGUCGGUUCGGCGAUCCGACGAGCCGUCGCGAAGGUAUUGAAGAAACGGGCGCUCGGAGCUUCGUUUCCGCCUGGGAGGCCGAGGCGACGUCCAUAAAUUGUGAGAGUGGGUCCCGAGCACCGGAGCGGCAAGGCGAAGGUCGCUGACACUCGAAACGGCGAAGUGGCGCGCUCUUGGGGAGCCACUGUGAGUUUGGGCCCAAACGGGUGCCGAGUGCCGCGGGAGGCCGAUUGCAAGUGUCGACGAGCAAUCGGAAAAGCUAACUAAGUUGGGAUGUGCUUACCGAAGCGACUAGGUCGCCCUUUAUGUCUUAGUAAUGUAAUCACUUGUUGAUGCAUGUGCAUGUAGACAUGAGUAAAGUAAAGAAUGCAUAUUAGAUAAGAUGCAUAGAAUAAAUGCUAAGUAAUGUAAAGAACGCAUGCUAACAAUAAUGCAUAGGUAGAAAUGCUAAGUAGAAUCCAUGAUGCAUAAAGAUGCAUAGAGUAAAUGCUAAGUGAGAAGCAUGAGGUAAUAACUCUAGAGUGGAUUGGACAACUAGGUUGUCAGGUAGAUCGAGUGGCAUCUAACCUAGUGUUAAAGAACAUAUAUUGAAUAGUAAACCUAGAGUCGAACAAUCUAGGUGUGUGGCAUCGAACCUAGUGUUAGUGAACCUAGGUUGAACUAGUGAACCUAGGUUGAACUAGUAAACCUAGAAGUGGACAUCUAGGCCAAGUCGACAAGAACCUAGCAAGUGUACCUAGGUUAAGUGACGUGGACAUAGAACCUAGAGUCUUGGAACCUAGGUUGAUGAGUAUAGUGGUAUAGCCACUAGGAUGAGUUAGGUCGAUGAUAUAGGGCUGGUUAUGAACCCUCGACCUGUGGAAAGUGGAUUCCGGGAUCCCAGGACUUUUGAUGUCCCUAGUACAAGCUAGGGCGUGUGUGCGACGACUUCGCCGCCGAGCUUGGUACUGUGGGUAGAUUGGGCGUGACCAUGUGGAGAUCACCGCCCGGGGCUUGAACCUUUGCCGUGGCGUUUGUGCGACGAUUUCGCCGCCAGGAUGGUUAAGCCAUUUAGGAUCAGACCGCCAGAGCAGACCAAAUCCAUGCUGGGUAAGCACGAUGCGGGUGCCUCCAGGUGACUGAGUCUGACAUGACCGUUGUUGGGUGUGGUGCGACUCGUUCGCCGCCAGACGGUGUGUCAGGUCCCGAGCUCACGCUGGGUAAAAGCAACGCGAUCGCCGCCAGAUGGUCAAGUCGUGCGACUUGAGCCGGGCCUAGCGUGUGCGACGAUUUCGCCGCUAGUGGGCUAUGACAGAGAGGGCGGUAGGCUGUUGAGCGGCCAGCGCGCGGGCUAUCCGCGGAUGAUUGACUCAAAGCCGAGUCGGGUGGUUAGCUAUGAUAAGGUAGAGGAACCCUUAUGAGCUAGAGAUAGAGGCUUGAGCUAAGGUAAUAGAGACCUUAGAGUAAAGAUAUAAGCUAAAGUAGCUAAGUAAUUGUAGAAUCAAGUAAUCUACUAGAAAGGCGUAUGNGGUACCGGACUUCUAAAAUUAUGAAGUUACGGUGUACAUUUGGUUUGAAAGCCAUUUGAAUGAUUCCGGUGAGGUUGCGGUGAAAUGUAAUAUACCGAAUUUUAAAUAUAAAAAUAAAAAUAAAUAAAAAUAGUGUGAGAUACUAUUUUUAUUCGAUUUAGAGGAGUAAAAUAUAAGUCAGAAGUGACUUGUGCUGAAAUCAGAAUGAAAACAGAAGAUGUAGAAUUUUCUGUUGGAAACGGGACAGAUAAGUAGGCAGAAAAUGCACAGUCUCAGAAAAUUAUGAAAAUUGGAGGAUAAAUCAAAAAUAUUUUUAUGAGACUAGAUUUAAAGUUUCAUAUUUUUCUGACACCCGUAGAGUGAGAAAUAAAAUCUGACAGCUAUCUGAUAAAGAUUACAGUUCGGUACAGUUUUCAGUGACCAAACGGGGUCGAAACUGAAAACUUAAGAUAUAUUCUUACUCAGUACGUUAAACCGAGGCUACCUAUCAAAUUUGAGCCCAAACGGACAUUCAGAAGGGCUCCAACUAUUCCGAACUGCUAAAACUGCCUGGAAUGAAUAGUGCUUUGAGGGUGUUAAUUAAAGAAGCCUUUUGCUUCUUCCUCAGCAGACCACACCCAUGGCCACACACACACGCACGCAUGGAGGGGGGGAGAAACCCUCCUUUCUCUCUCUAAAGAUCUCUCUCAUCUCUCCAAAUCUCUCGCUCAAAUUCGCGGCGUUGGUGGAAAAGAUGCUUGCGAACGCAUUGGAGGCGACGGAUCGAGCUUCGUGCGCCCGUUGGAGCGGCGUAUUUUCGUCGCGGCGUUCACAUUGAGGUAAGCUUUUGGGAUUUGGCUUAAUCCUUAGCUUUAAAUGUUCUAAUAGCCUCUAAUGAGCUUUGUUAGCAUGUUUAUCCAUUUAAUUUUGGAUUACUUUGAGGUUAAUUGCAUAUUAGGUCUCCGAAUGGGGUUUUAUAACAUAUAAGGGUUUGAUCUAAUUUGACCCUUCGCAAACCUAAUUGCUAGGUAAACGAACGCGUUGGCGAAGUCGGUUCGGCGAUUCGUCAAGCCGGUGCGAAGUUAUUAAAGAAACGGAUGUUUAGGCUUCGUUUUCGCCUGGAGGGCCGAGGCGACGUCGUAAAAUCCUGGAAACGGAUUUGAAGCACUGUAACAGCAAAACGAAGACCCUUUUUGCCCGAGGCUGCGAAGCGAUGCGCGGUUGGGGCGCAAUUGCAAGUUUCGGCAGAACCGAGCACCGGAUGCCGUGGGAGGCCGAUUGCAAGUGUCGACAAGCAAUCGGAAUGCGAAAUGAGGUGGGUUGUGCUUACCCAAGCGACUAGGUCGCCCUUUAUGUCUAAGAGAAAUGUAAAUUCAUAUUGAUGCAUAUAAAUGGUAGAUGAAUGCAAGAGUUAAAUGCUAGGCGAAUGCAUGUUAAUUGCUAUGCUACGACUACCAUAGAAUGCAUGAUGAACAUAUUAUAGAAAUGCUAAAUAAUGCAUGUGAGCAUAUGGUAAAGAAUGCAUGUUAAUGACAUAAUGUAAAUAUGCUUGUUAAUACAUGUAUGAUGACAUGAUGAGAAAAUGCUAGAUUAAAUGCAUAUUAACAUGUUGUAGAUCAUGUGAGAAAGAUUAUGCAUGUUGGCAUCACAUAAUGCAUGCUAGAUAAAAUGUGGAUAGUUAUGGAACUCGACAUGGACAAUUAGGAUGUCAAAUAGAUCGAGUGGCACUUAACCUAGUGUUAAAGAACAUAGGUUGUGAAUGAAUCUAGAGUCAUAUGAACUAGAUCGAGUGGCAUCCAACCUAGUGUAUUAAACAUAGGUUGAACAGGAAUGACAAUGUACCUAGUGUUAUUAAACAUAGGUCGAGUGGCAUCUAACCUAGUGUUAAAGAACAUAGGUUGAGAAUAAACCUAGAGUUAACUAAAUCUAGGUGUGUGGCAUUAACCUAGUGUCGUGAACAUAGGUUAUGGAUUGAACCUAGAGUUAAAGUAAACCUAGGUUAUGUGAUAGAGAC
This 8688-nucleotide long non-coding RNA is filed under the name Ananas comosus (pineapple). RNAcentral describes it as "long non-coding RNA (ACOM_LNC038495)". The record is from RNAcentral. Lineage: Eukaryota; Viridiplantae; Streptophyta; Magnoliopsida; Poales; Bromeliaceae.